GAAAUGCGAUAAGUAAUGUGAAUUGCAGAAUUCAGUGAAUCAUCGAAUCUUUGAACGCACCUUGCGCUCCUUGGUAUUCCUUGGAGCAUGCCUGUUUGAGUAUCAUGAAAUCUUCAAAGUAAAUCUUUUGUUAACUCAAUUGGUUUCUACUUUGGUAUUGGAGGUCUUUGCAGCUUCACAGCUGCUCCUCUUUGUUCAUUAGCUGGAUCUCAGUGUUAUGCUUGGUUCCACUCGGCGUGAUAAGUUAUCUAUCGCUGAGGACACUGUAAAAGGUGGCCAAGGUAAAUGCAGAUGAACCGCUUCUAAUAGUCCAUUGACUUGGACAAUACUUUUAUGAUCUGAUCUCAAAUCAGGUAGGACUACCCGCUGAACUUAAGC
Molecule: unclassified non-coding RNA, 378 nt
Filed under: plant metagenome
Description: partial contains 5.8S ribosomal RNA, internal transcribed spacer 2, and large subunit ribosomal RNA
Rfam family: 5.8S ribosomal RNA (bases 1-105)
Source: RNAcentral